RNAcentral lists this ribosomal RNA (496 nucleotides) under uncultured bacterium. RNAcentral describes it as "partial 16S ribosomal RNA". It matches the Rfam family "Bacterial small subunit ribosomal RNA", at positions 28 to 523 of the family's 1533-position model. The record is from RNAcentral.
GAUGAACGCUAGCGGCAGGCCUAACACAUGCAAGUCGAGGGGUAGAGGUUGCUUGCAACCUUGAGACCGGCGCACGGGUGCGUAACGCGUAUGCAAUCUGCCUUGUACUGAGGGAUAGCCCAGAGAAAUUUGGAUUAAUACCUCAUAGUAUCUUUUCCCGGCAUCGGGAGAUUAUUAAAGUUCCAACGGUACAAGAUGAGCAUGCGUCCCAUUAGCUAGUUGGUAUGGUAACGGCAUACCAAGGCAAUGAUGGGUAGGGGUCCUGAGAGGGAGAUCCCCCACACUGGUACUGAGAAACGGACCAGAAUCCUACGGGAGGCAGCAGUGAGGAAUAUUGGUCAAUGGGCGCAAGCCUGAACCAGCCAUGCCGCGUGCAGGAUGAAGCAUCUAUGGUGUGUAAACUGCUUUUAUACGGGAAGAAACACCGGUUCGUGAACCGGCUUGACGGUACCGUAAGAAUAAGGAUCGGCUAACUCCGUGCCAGCAGCCGCGGUAA